AUUGAACGCUGGCGGCGUGCCUAACACAUGCAAGUCGAGCGGUAACAGGUGUAGCAAUACAUGCUGACGAGCGGCGGACGGGUGAGUAACGCUUGGGAAUCUGCCUAUUAGUGGGGGACAACCCGGGGAAACUCGGGCUAAUACCGCAUACGCUCUACGGAGGAAAGCCGGGGACCGCAAGGCCUGGCGCUAAUAGAUGAGCCCAAGUCGGAUUAGCUAGUUGGUAGGUAAUGGCCUACCAAGGCGACGAUCCGUAACUGGUCUGAGAGGACGACCAGUCACACCGGAACUGAGACACGGUCCGGACUCCUACGGGAGGCAGCAGUGGGGAAUAUUGGACAAUGGGCGAAAGCCUGAUCCAGCGACGCCGCGUGGGUGAAGAAGGCCUGCGGGUUGUAAAGCCCUUUCAGUGGGGAAGAAAAGCCUCGACCUAACACGUCGGGGUCUUGACGUAACCCAUAGAAGAAGCACCGGCUAACUCU
Molecule: ribosomal RNA, 482 nt
Filed under: uncultured bacterium
Lineage: Bacteria
Description: bacterial SSU rRNA
Rfam family: Bacterial small subunit ribosomal RNA
Source: RNAcentral